CAAUAGCGUAUAUUUAAGUUGUUGCAGUUAAAAAGCUCGUAGUCGGAUUUUGGCUGAGAACGAUCGGUCCGCCGUUAGGUGUGCACUGAUUGGUCUCAGCUUCCUGGUGAGGAGGUGUGCUUCACGGCCACUUAGUCACCGUGGUUACUUUGAAAAAAUUAGAGUGCUCAAAGCGGGCUUACGCUUGAAUAUAUUAGCAUGGAAUAACACCAUAGGACUCCUGUCCUAUUUCGUUGGUCUCGGGACGGGAGUAAUGAUUAAGAGGAACAGUUGGGGGCAUUCGUAUUUCAUUGUCAGAGGUGAAAUUCUUGGAUUUAUGAAAGACGAACUUCUGCGAAAGCAUUUGCCAAGGAUGUUUUCAUUGA
Molecule: ribosomal RNA, 365 nt
Filed under: uncultured eukaryote
Lineage: Eukaryota
Description: partial 18S ribosomal RNA
Rfam family: Eukaryotic small subunit ribosomal RNA
Source: RNAcentral